Molecule: unclassified non-coding RNA, 22 nt
Filed under: Dictyostelium discoideum
Lineage: Eukaryota; Evosea; Eumycetozoa; Dictyosteliales; Dictyosteliaceae
Source: RNAcentral
ACCGAUCGAAUGAUACGGUAAA